Molecule: long non-coding RNA, 3128 nt
Organism: Mus pahari (shrew mouse)
Lineage: Eukaryota; Metazoa; Chordata; Mammalia; Rodentia; Muridae
Exons: 2
Source: RefSeq, a predicted model, not a curated record
AUCAGUUGGAUGCAGAGAGAACCAAGUGAGGUGAAGCAGUGGGUGUGAGGACAGGUCAAGCUGGGGGUGCUGAUGCACAGGUCAGACUCAGGACUUAGAAAAGAAAAAAAUGAGACAUUUACUUCAGCUGUAUCAACUAUGGUUCUGGCAAAAAAGAAAAACAUUACCUAUAAAAUAACUGGGAAUACUAUGUCAGUGAAAACCAUGGACAAAUGUCUAAGACAGUGUGUUAAAAAUACACGAUUGUCCCACAAUGGUAGACCUAAUCACCUAGGCUUUUAUAGCUAGCUGAAGUUAGAGAGCACAUGCACUCAGUGGAGCUUGUCCUAAAUGCAGAGGUUGACAGUGAUGGGAGCAGUGAGUGGAAAUCAGGAAGUGAUCAGAUAGGGCUACCAAGACUUGGGAGUCCUCAUGUUGAUUGGAAGGUUCCAAGGAGUGUUGUUGAUGAGGAAAUAGGUAGCCGUAGAAUGCCAACAAACAUUUUUAAUCUAACUGGUCACACCACUAAUGCAAAAUGAAAAGGCCAAGAGAGGACAAAACCAACAGAAGUUGUGGCUCACCCUUGAUAAUGGAGCCAGGGCAGGAAAGCAAAAGGCAGAAUUCAGGGUUUCCAAAGUGGGUGGUGGUAAUGUAUCUCCAGGUUAAGCAAGGAAUAUUAGGCAGAUUUUCAAAGACUAAGCAGAGUCCUUUUUAUAAGAGAAGCAAGUCAGUAAGUAACCCAUCCUUUAUUUAGUGAAGAAACAACUUCACUAAUUUAGAAAACAGAAGAAUAUUAAAGACAAACAAAAGAAAGUAGUAGGACUAUCACAUAGUUAAGUAUAAAAUCAGAAAAUGUGAGUUGGGUUUAGUGGCAAAAAGAUCACAAGUUUAUGGCCAACCUGGGAUACAGAGGGAGACCCUGUCUUAGAAAAAAAAAAAAAAAAAGAAUGAAAGAAAAAGGUUUAAAAAAAAAAGAAAAAGAAAAAGAAAAAGAAAAAAAGAAAAAAAGAAAAAGACAAAAAAAAAGGAACUAUGAGAAUUGAAAGAAAAGGUGGAUACAGGUUGAAUUAUAAUUAAUAUGGCCUACAACAAAAUUCACAUAGCCCCAAUGGUAAAGGAGGCUAUUUGCCUCCCUAAAAGUUUCAUCAGGUAUCAAUGAAUGGGUUGGGUAAGGGGAAUAAAUGGUUACAAAGAGAUGAGUUUGAAAAUGGCUUGAUCAACAAUCUUCAGAAACCAGUGUCUGAUAGCCAAGGAUGUUUAUAGAUUGAGCAAAGAAAGUUACAAUCAAUGAAUAAUAUUCUGAAGAAUACUGGAGGGCACAUAUCUUUUGAACUGUAGAAGAACUGAUUUUAAAGAUGCUAGUAGAAAAAAAAUUAAGCCUAAAAUUAAACAAAAUAUUGUGUGUUAUUAUGUUUGGUACCAGACGAUACUUAAAUAAAAUAAUUUGUCCAAUUCGCAGAUUUAAUAUGUGGUAGGGCCAGAAUUAAAAUCAUUACCUUUAUCUAUUAAACCCAUAUUCCUUUCUAAUAUGCUUUAUUAUUUUCAAGUUGAAGGAAAUCAUAAAUAAGAAUUUCUAUAUUUUCCUUGUGACUGUAAGGAAAAAAUAUUUUUCUGAGAUAAGAUACAUUUUAAAGUGAUACGAUUUUGAAGUGACUGGUAAUUUUUAGAAUAUCUGCAAUGGGAAAAAGUUAAAUGUUAAAAAAAGAAAGACAGGAGGAUGGGUAUAGACUCUAUUACCACCUAUGUCCUGGUAUUUCACAUCGUUCAUUGCAAAGUAGAGUUGAGAUUGGCUACGGGCUAAAAUUCAUGAAUUCUAAUAAAAAUAAAGAAUAGAAAGAAGAAAGAAAGCAUAUGGUAGGUCAAACAUAAAAGUGAUGAAACAAGAUUAGAGUUUAUAGCCACAUCCUGCCACUGAUCAGAAAACCCUCUAAAUCUAACAUAAAGAAACAUCUCUAAUUGCCAAAUUUUCACAAACAAAAGCCAAAUAGUCCAUAGCCAGCAGACCAAACAUUCAAACCUCUGGGCUAAUAACAUGUAAGAUCUGUUUUAAGAAGUUACCUCCUCAGUGAAGAGAGCUGAGGUGAUCAUAUACUGUUCCUUUCUUUGUGAAGUGUUUAAUGUUACUAUUGUUUUCCUAUAUGUAACUACUGUAAUUUCAAUAUUGUUGUUUUGUAUAUUUUGGUAUUGUAAAACUGUGCUUAUUCUUUUAAUCCCAUUCCCUGGUGUGUGGGUCCCCUGAGUUAUCCAAUAUCAGAGUCCACCUAGUAGCUAGUACUGAGUAUAUACUAAGGAGCUAGUAAUCUCAACUGGGAAGGGCUGGAGUUUUCAAUGGGUUCAGAUUUGCUUCCUAUUGUAAUUAAGUGUAAAUUAAUGGCAUCCCUUAAAAAUUAAUAACACACAAGUUUAGUGAGAAGUACAGUGAUUGUGGAAGAAUUCUGAAGCAAUGAAAGAUGGCUAUUGGAAAAAACAGAGUCUCCCAGGAUGAUGGCAAAGACAUAGAACUGUAUUAAGGCUGGACCCAGAUAUAAGUUUGUAACAGUAGCAAACAAAACUAGCUUUACUCGAGAGAGCAGAAAGUUUAAAUACUGUCUAGCAGAUCGAUCUAUCUAUCUAUCUAUCUAGAGAGAAAUCAGACCAGGAGAAUAAAGUGAAACCACAAGGAAAUGGAAGGUGAGAGAAUUUCACAAAGGAAUAAACAAAGUUAUUAAAUUUAAAGACAGAUUACCAAAAGCUCAAAGGAGAAAUGUCAGAGUCCAGAUAGGAAAGUGCCUUUCCACCCAGGGUUAUGGUUACAGAUCCAAGUGGCUGUACAACACAAACACAGUUCCACUGGAUCAAAGGGAACAUCCUGGGAUUCAGACUCAGCAAUGGUGCCAACAUGAAUCUACCUCGUGCCAGAGUCUAAGUAGCUUUGUCUAGCACCCAACCCAGCUAAGAUUGGUCAGCAGUUCCCAUGAAUGAACACUGAAGAAUGGAGUUAGAAGAGGCUAUAAGUCAGAACAAGCCCUAAAUGUAACUGAAUGAUGACCAGGGAACUAUUUACUAGUACUUUUAUGAUUUCUUGUAACUCUGUAACUUCUCUGAUGUUUGUUAAUAUUGUUAAUUUCUGUAUUUCGUGUACUUACAAGUAGUAAAAACUUUAAAUAUUA